AGUGAACGCUGGCGGCAGGCCUAACACAUGCAAGUCGAACGGUAGCACAGAGGAGCUUGCUCCUUGGGUGACGAGUGGCGGACGGGUGAGGAAUACAUCGGAAUCUACCCUGUCGUGGGGGAUAACGUAGGGAAACUUACGCUAAUACCGCAUACGAACUGAGGUUGAAAGCGGCGGACCGCAAGGCGUCGCGCGAUUGGAUGAGCCGAUGUCCGAUUAGCUAGUUGGCGGGGUAAUGGCCCACCAAGGCGACGAUCGGUAGCUGGUCUGAGAGGAUGAUCAGCCACACUGGAACUGAGACACGGUCCAGACUCCUACGGGAGGCAGCAGUGGGGAAUAUUUGGGACCAAUGGGCGCAAGCCUGAUCCAGCCAUGCCGCGUGUGUG
RNAcentral lists this ribosomal RNA (386 nucleotides) under uncultured bacterium. RNAcentral describes it as "bacterial SSU rRNA". It matches the Rfam family "Bacterial small subunit ribosomal RNA", at positions 29 to 407 of the family's 1533-position model. The record is from RNAcentral.